GCUUGACCUCAAAUCGGGUGAGACUACCCGCUGAACUUAAG
This 41-nucleotide ribosomal RNA is filed under the name Lactarius sp. R6. Its description in RNAcentral is "partial 28S ribosomal RNA". Lineage: Eukaryota; Fungi; Basidiomycota; Agaricomycetes; Russulales; Russulaceae. The record is from RNAcentral.